AGCCAAUUUAACUAAUGAACAGUAAAUACAAGGUGAGUAAGAAGCUGAAUGUAAGUAUAACAGGAAAUUAACUAAGCAGAUAAACAAAUGACUAUAAGUAACAAUCAAGGUAAAUGACGAUAGCAGUGUAAAGGAAUGUCAAGCAUAGUAGAAGGCUAACUGACCAUGAUCUGCAUAGGCAAAUGUAAAGUAACAGUAAGUGAAUAUCUGCAUGUAAUAUAAACAACUCUCUAUACCUGUCUCUUUACCUGUUGUAUUGUCAUCUUUACACAUGUAGAGAGCGGAAAAGAAAGCAAUUGCAUAAUGUAUGCAUCAAUGUAACUACUACGAAACAAGUGCUGCGAUAAUACCCAAUCUCAACGACCGACUCAUACGUCCGAUCAAGCCUGUGCCCGCCUAGGUCGGAAUCGCACUCCCGCAGGUGCACCGUCGACCCCUAGGCUCUACCCUCAUGGGUAAACAUAUCACAAACAUAACCAGCCAACAUCCGGAGCGGCACUCGAAGGGGAGCGACCCCUACCGAGUCACAUGUCACAUAGCACAAGUACUGUCAUCUCAAGGUGGCCUUGCAGGCUAUAGUCUAUGUCAUGGUCAACAAUAUCACAGUACCCAAUCCGAUGUCCUCAAUGUAAUCAUAGAGUGAACAGUAGGUCAAAUCUCAUGAUCACAUAAACAAAGACCAUCUCUAUGUCCAAAUCUCUGUACACUACUAUCACUCUAUCCACAGUCACUGACAAACAACAUAUGGCAUGCACGAUAUAAGUGACUAAUAAUGAUGCAUCAAGAUAACAUUUCUUAUCACAUACUAUAUACCAUGCACGAUACAAAUGAGUGUUAGAUGACUAAAUCAAGAUACAUGAAACGUUAAUUGGCUUCCCAUGACUGGAACUAAAAUAUCUAAUUAUUGCUAACAAUACUAUUUCAUGAGGAGGAAAGAAGUAUGACUUACAUCAGUUUUCAUCUGUGCAUAUGAGCUCAACUUCAUGCUAAUGGCAUCUCUUUCAACAACAAAAUCAAGAACGGAGGAUCACAAUUAGGGACAUAAGCUACGUCUAUUCAGCACAAUGCUCAUAUACAUAUGCACAUACAUAUCUCAGCGCAUAAUCAGAUAUCAAUACUAAGUUUCUAUCAUGCUUCAAUUUUCACGAACGGAGGAUCAACAGAAGGUAAAUUAUAUGCGCAAAUUCACAUAUUAUACAGCUUGUACCGAAAUAGGCAUAGGAGGAAAUUUGCCGUUUUCGGCAGCUCGGAACCCAC
RNAcentral lists this long non-coding RNA (1257 nucleotides) under Ananas comosus (pineapple). RNAcentral describes it as "long non-coding RNA (ACOM_LNC033292)". The record is from RNAcentral. Lineage: Eukaryota; Viridiplantae; Streptophyta; Magnoliopsida; Poales; Bromeliaceae.